RNAcentral lists this ribosomal RNA (253 nucleotides) under uncultured bacterium. RNAcentral's name for it is "partial 16S ribosomal RNA". It matches the Rfam family "Bacterial small subunit ribosomal RNA", at positions 524 to 776 of the family's 1533-position model. The record is from RNAcentral.
UACGUAGGGUGCGAGCGUUGUCCGGAAUUACUGGGCGUAAAGAGCUCGUAGGUGGUUUGUCGCGUUGUUCGUGAAAACUCACAGCUUAACUGUGGGCGUGCGGGCGAUACGGGCAGACUGGAGUACUGCAGGGGAGACUGGAAUUCCUGGUGUAGCGGUGGAAUGCGCAGAUAUCAGGAGGAACACCGGUGGCGAAGGCGGGUCUCUGGGCAAUAACUGACGCUGAGGAGCGAAAGCGUGGGGAGCGAACAGG